CUUUCACAUGUGUCCUAAAAGAGAAUGGUUUAGUGAGUUUGAAAAUGUAAGUGGAGGCCAAGUGUUAAUGGGUAAUCACAUAUCUUGUCAGGUUAAAGGAAUAGGAACAAUCACCACAAGGUUGGAUGGUAAUAAUGAAUUGAUCUUAGAUAAGACCAGUUAUGUUCCUGACCUACAAAGAAAUUUGAUAUCCUUAGGUGUCCUAGAUGACCUGAACUACAAUAUUGUGAUUAACAUGGGAUACAUUAAGAUCUUGAGGGGCUCUCAACUUGUUGUCGAAGCCCCCAAGAAACAUGGGCUUUACAUUUUACAUAUUCAAACUUUUUUGACUCCACAUCAAUAGCAAUUUCUGCCCCCAAUGAUAAGUCACAAUUAUGGCAUAAAAGAUUGGGCCAUAUUAUUUUUCCUUUUAAUCAUAGAUGAUUUUUCUAGGAAAAACUGGCUCUUUUUGCUUAAACAUAAGUUUGACACUUUUAAUGCUUUUAAAGAAUGAAAAAUCUUGAUUGAGAAUUAAACAAAUAAAAAGAUUAAAGUGUUGAAGACUGAUAAUGGACUUGAGUUUUGCAAUUAUGAAUUUGAUGAAUUGUGCAAAGUGCAUGGUAUUCUAAGACACAGAACAGUGACACACUCCCCACAACAAAAUGGCUUGGCCGAAAGAAUGAACCGAACUAUUCUUGAGAGAGUUAGAUGCAUGUUAUUAGGUUUUGGUCUUCCCAAGUUAUUUUGGGGGGAAGCUGCAAAAACUGCUAGUUAUCUCAUAAAUAGAAGCCCCGCUAGUGCUAUACAAUUUAAAUCCCCUGAAGAAGUUUGGACAUAAAAACCUGUAGAUUUGAGUAAUCUAAAAAUAUUUGGGUGUCCAGCCUUUACACAUCAAUCUGAAGGGAAACUUGAACCUAAGGCCCUUAAAUGUGUUUUCUUGGGCUAUGGUGAUGGGGUAUAAACUUUGGGUAAGAGAACCCAAAUGUUAUAAGAUCAUUAUAAGUAGAAAUGUGGUGCUUAAUGAAUCUGAUCUGCCUUGUUUGAAAUUUGAAAAUAACACUACUAAAUCUGGUCAGACUGAAAAUAAAGGAAGGGAAAUUGAAAUUAAGGCAGAGCAAGUUAAUAAUGAUAAUCUACAACAUGAUCAGAUUGAAAAUAGUGAAAUUGAGGCUCAAAAUGAUGAAGAAACUGAUCAAAAUGAAUCUGAUUUUGAGGUUAAUCAACCUUUAAAUGAUUAUCAACUUGCUAGAGAUAGAGAAAGGAGAGAAAUAAGACCACCCGUGAGAUUUGAUGAUGAAAUAUCUCUUCUCACUGUUCAGGGCUUCAUUGAGAAUGAACUCGAAUCCUAUAAAGAUGCUAUGAGUAGCAAGGACUCUAAGCAUUGGCUAGAAGCAAUGCAUGAUGAGAUGGAAUCGUUGAGAAAGAAUAAAAUUUGGACUUGG
RNAcentral lists this long non-coding RNA (1421 nucleotides) under Olea europaea subsp. europaea. Lineage: Eukaryota; Viridiplantae; Streptophyta; Magnoliopsida; Lamiales; Oleaceae. The record is from RNAcentral.